Molecule: ribosomal RNA, 458 nt
Filed under: Chlamydia sp. S384
Lineage: Bacteria; Pseudomonadati; Chlamydiota; Chlamydiia; Chlamydiales; Chlamydiaceae
Description: bacterial SSU rRNA
Rfam family: Bacterial small subunit ribosomal RNA
Source: RNAcentral
UGAUGAGGCAUGCAAGUCGAACGGAAUAAUGACUUCGGUUGUUAUUUAGUGGCGGAAGGGUUAGUAAUACAUAGAUAAUCUGUCCUCAACUUGGGAAUAACGGUUGGAAACGACCGCUAAUACCGAAUGUGGUAUGUUUAGGCAUCUAAAACAUAUUAAAGAAGGGGAUCUUCGGACCUUUCGGUUAAGGAAGAGUCUAUGGGAUAUCAGCUUGUUGGUGGGGUAAUGGCCUACCAAGGCUUUGACGUCUAGGCGGAUUGAGAGAUUGACCGCCAACACUGGGACUGAGACACUGCCCAGACUUCUACGGAAGGCUGCAGUCGAGAAUCUUUCGCAAUGGACGAAAGUCUGACGAAGCGACGCCGCGUGUGUGAUGAAGGCUCUAGGGUUGUAAAGCACUUUCGCUUGGGAAUAAGAGAAAUUGGCUAAUAUCCAAUUGAUUUGAGCGUACCAGGUAA